This 207-nucleotide ribosomal RNA is filed under the name uncultured bacterium. RNAcentral describes it as "partial 16S ribosomal RNA". It matches the Rfam family "Bacterial small subunit ribosomal RNA", at positions 568 to 774 of the family's 1533-position model. The record is from RNAcentral.
CACGUAGGCGGCUUUUUAAGUCAGAGGUGAAAUCCCGGGGCUCAACCCCGGAACUGCCUUUGAAACUGGUAAGCUAGAAUCUUGGAGAGGCGAGUGGAAUUCCGAGUGUAGAGGUGAAAUUCGUAGAUAUUCGGAAGAACACCAGUGGCGAAGGCGACUCGCUGGACAAGUAUUGACGCUGAGGUGCGAAAGCGUGGGGAGCAAACA